Molecule: long non-coding RNA, 961 nt
Organism: Monodelphis domestica (gray short-tailed opossum)
Lineage: Eukaryota; Metazoa; Chordata; Mammalia; Didelphimorphia; Didelphidae
Source: RefSeq, a predicted model, not a curated record
UGCUCUCUCUCUUGUCUUCCGGAAGCUCCUGCCACAGGUGGGAGAUGGCCGUGGAGACGAUGGGGAGCGUCACCUGCUCCGGGGAGACGACCCCGUUCUGGAUCAGGAGGCCCACCGUCUGCUUGUAAAAAUAGAGGUUGAAAGAUUCUGUGGGCAGGAAGAAGGGAAGAAGUUGGAAAUCAAUGCCACUGCCCAAAUGGGAAGCUUCUCCUCUAGAUGCGAAAGGUACCGGGGGAGAAUGCAAAGAAUUAAGAAAGCAAGAAACACGUAGCUUCAAAGUAAGGAACAUGAGCGCUGGAUCUCCUGAUUAAUCUCCAGCCUAUCAAAAGAUCUUCCUCUUCCCUCCACUAGCUGGCAAAGGGCUCCAGAGGAAUCAUUUGGCCCUUCAGCCACACCAAUCAUCCUGCCUUUACAUAGUGGCGGAGGACCCUUUGUUUCUCAUUUCAAGAAACGCUAACCAAUCUAUCCAGACUUAAAUUCUAGCUGAUUGAGAAGCAGGGCCAGGUUUGACCAUCAAGGGAGAGAAGGAGUACUCUGGGUCCUGAUUACCUUUCAUCUUCAGCAAGUUAUCCAAUGUUUUCUCCAGUUCCUGAAUGUGAUGCUUCGCCUUACGCAAAACCUGCCACUGAACACAAAGACAAAGCUGAAGCCCUUCCCUGACCACUCUGAGCAGGUUUGUGUCGCUAGAGGCCAAGAACUGUCCCAAUGGGCCCUUCUUUCCCACUCACUCCAGCCAGGCUUUGGGUGCAAGUGAUAGGAAUGGGCAAGAACGCCAAAGCACGAAUUCAACUACAAUGGGUUAAGACAUAAUAGAGUUCAUGUAAAUGGGUUUUAUAUGAAACACUAAAUACUUGGGUAAGCAGAGAUCAGCAUAAUGUUACUAGAGUGUUUUUUAGUGCUUUGUCAAAAUGCUGAGCUGAGAUCCACAAAUUAAAUGUUGAUGCCAACGUGGUCACUACAA